Molecule: long non-coding RNA, 6902 nt
Filed under: Trifolium pratense (red clover)
Lineage: Eukaryota; Viridiplantae; Streptophyta; Magnoliopsida; Fabales; Fabaceae
Description: long non-coding RNA (TPRA_LNC001292)
Source: RNAcentral
UGCUACUGCUGCAACUGAUGAUCAGGAGUUAGAAGGUAACAAAACUACCUUCCUACGGACUGCUGAGACUUUUCUGCGUCUGCUUCCUAUUGGUCUUUGUGUUUCAGCUCUUGUCCUUAUGCUUAAGAACUCUGAAGAAAACGAUUAUGGUUCUGUUUCUUACACUGACCUUGGUGCUUUCAGGUAUAUACAUACUAGUACUAUGUAAGAAAACAUUAUUUCUACAAAUAGAUAGAAACUAGCAAUUGUUAUGUGUACAUAUUUCAUACAAUUUGGCUCAUGUUUAUGAAUGCUAAAGUAAGAUAUGUCACUCGUUAUAAACUAUGUGGUCAAGGUUCGAUCGCUUAUCUACUGGUCAUAUUCGAUCACCGACUCUUUUUUGUGUAGAAAAUUCAGUUGGGACAAAAGAAUUGUCCUUGUGUUUUGAAUGAAUUCGCCGAUAGAGAUUACUUACCGCUGAAGAGCAGUAAAAAUUUUGUGCAUGUUAUAUAACAUCAUAAAAAAUUAUAUAACUUGUAAAAUGAAAAUAAUACAAUAAGCAUAGAGAAGUGCUUGAGUCACUCUUUAAACACACGCUAACAAGUUAUUUUGGUUACCGUGUAUGUAUGGUAUCACGAUGGAUAUGUCAAAAAGUCACAUGACUCGCUGUGAUUUUUCAAAAGGUAUACUCAUAACUUCUGCAAAAUCACCGUGUUCACCGUGAUACCGGCAUAUUCACUGAUACAAAACUUAGGCUAAAUGGGUAAUUUGGAUGUAACAAACAUGCAUGUUGGUUGUAGGUAUUUGGUGAAUGCAAAUGGCAUUUGUGCAGGUUACUCCCUACUUUCAGCUGUCCUUAUUGCUGUCCCUCGACCCACUGCUCUCCGGGCUUGGACUUUCUUUUUCCUUGACCAGGUAAUUAGGUUCCUUCACUUUUACUAAAUCAUCAUUAGUUCUUAAAAUUAUAAAUAUAGUUUAAUUUAAUCUUUUAAAUUUGUCAAAUAACAAUUUAUUUUCUUAAGUUGAACAACUUUUGGUCAAAUCUGUUAUUUUCUAGUUACCUUCAUAAUUUUAAUGGUUUUAUAACAAGAGACUAUUCAAGUUAAUACAAAAUUCUGUCAUCGGUUUUGAUGGAUGUUGAGAGACUAAGUGUAUGUUUGGUAUUACGGCGAGGAUGUCAGAAUCACGGUGAUCCACCGUGAUUUGGCAGAAGCUACAUAGUGUUAGUUUUUGAAAAAUCACAGUGGAUCACUGUGAUUUUGACAUACCCACCGUGAUACCAAACAUGAACUAAAUUGAUUAACUUUAUUUAAUUUAAGAUACUAAAUUAAUAGUUGCUUUUAUAAUUGGUAUAUAAUGUGAAUCUAGGGAAUUCAUUAUAUUUUCAGAGGUACAUGUACACGGCCGUGCAAUGUUUUUGUCCUCAAACUAGUUUUAUGAUCAAUGGAUACAUAAUGAAAUCCAAAAUUAGGAAUAUGUAAGAACUGGCUGAGUAAUGAUAUAGAAAAUCUUUGAAAAUUAGGAAAGUUGUAAUUAGUUCAAUAUGUUCUUGCCCUGUUCCAAGAUUUGGCCUAUCAUAGGUUUUGUACCUCAAAUCACUGAAUUGAGGAUACCUAUGGAAGAUCACAUCUAGGUAAGUUUGGGCCUUUAAUAGGAAAGGCUGGAUUUGAAUCUUGGUCUAUUUUGGACAGCUGGUAUAAUUAUUUAUUACCAUCCUAGUUAUUGAUCUUGAUCCAAAUUAAGGUACAUUUGGACAUGCAUGAAUAAUUUGAAUUAAGUUUUUGUUAUCGAAAUACUAUGCGUCGUUAGAUCAAUAUCCAACUAUUUGUAUUUGAAAUUGUAUCUAGUGACGUCAAAAUACAAGUCAUUUUAUUUGAUCUUAAUCUAACGACUACUUCUCUAUUUCAACUUUCAGUAAUGUGUGUUUGUGUUUAUACGUAGAAUGAUUUUACCAUAUGAAACUCAAUAAAUUAACAUCUCAUACUAGAUAGCGAGCCCAAACAUAUUUAUUUUUUGACAAAAAUGAAAUUAAACUUGGGAUUUCCUUAAUCUAUAAUUAUCGAAUAACAAAUUAGAAAACAAAUUGAAAUAUGUUUCUUUGCUAGGUACUAACAUACAUAAUUUUGAGUGCGGGAGCUUCGACGAUAGAGGUUGUGUACCUAGCUAAGAAUGGAGACAGUGCAACAUUAUGGAACUCAGCUUGUGGCUCUUUUGGUCAAUUUUGCCAUAAGAUUACAGCUUCAGUAGCUAUCACAUUUGUAGCACUUGUUUGCUAUGUGCUUCUUUCCCUCAUUUCCUCCUAUAAGCUGUUCAGCAAAUUUGAUGUCCCAGCAAGUAGUCCUGCUGAUACAGGCACUGAUGACCACAUUGCUCCUGCAUUCCAUGGCUAGCUUACCCUAAUGUUUGUUGUGUUAUAGGAUAAUAUUUGGUAAUUAUUUUUCUAUGUUUUAUGACUCAAUAGACAUGGCUAAAAAUAUUAAAAAUAUGUAUAAUUAGACCUUUGUUUAUUUUAGAUAUAUGGUUAUGGAUGGCUUUAACUUGUACAAGGUUUUAUGCUAUAUAUCCGGUGAGGCUACUGAUUAAGAAAUUUACAAAUAAUUAAUUAGCUCACUUAGAAUCAAGUGUGUGCAUAUGAACGUGGAUGCGUGUGUGUGGUUUAUAAAAAAAUAUGAUAGCAAGUUCAAGCUUCGUACAAGACAUUUAAAAUGUUAAAGAAGAUCCUGAUUAGAACAAAUUUGUUUUGUUAUGAAUUGAUGACAUUUUUUUGUUAUAUAAUAGAUUCAGAAGUAUGAACAUAAAAGCAGAGAUCAGCAGUAUGAAUGUGGAGAGUUUGAAAUUAGCUUUGAUGAUGAACAAAAUCAUCAACAAGAAAAUUGGGUGGUGAAAAGUGAAAAAUGCAGAUGUUUUGUAGUGUUAAAUCUAUAAAUAUAAGUCAAACUUAAUUGUGUCAAUACUAUUACAGCAUGUCAAAUUACUAUUGGUUAAUACAUUUUAAUGUACCAGUACAUCAUAAUCUUUAUAUUGUGCAGGAUUUAUUCUCUUUUCCUUGUCUAUUCUCUAGCAAACCAAACAAAAAGCAAAAUCCAUGAGGGAAGGACUACACCCUUUUUGGCACAAACGGAACUUUUCGGGCUAAAAUCUAAAACAAAUUAUUAUUAAUUAAAGUGACAUUAAUGAUCAUUUUACGACUAUUCCUGAGGGAUUUGAACACUGUCACUUGAAGUUACAAAGUUAGACUCUUACCACUAACCUUCCACUUCAUGGACUAAAAACCGGCAACUAAUUAUGCUGAAUAAGUUAAAACAUAACAAUGAAUUGCUCUUACUCACCUUGGACUGGUAUGGUAGGCCUAGUUGUAGAUAUUGCAGCUGAAUUAUCAACACUUCAAUUUAUCCAAUUUAGGACUGUUGAUUGUUGCUGAGAUGUUUGAAUUGUUUGGAAGAGGCGAAUGCUCAAAUUUAGGCUUAGAAGAUGAUAUGUAGACAGCUUCCUGAUACAAAUCCUGCCUGAUAUACACAACUUUCUCUUCAACCCUAACAAUUUCCUCUUCCAAAAAUGCCACUUCAGCCAGAAGUGCUAGUAUCUACAAUUUUUUCGACAUUACAAAAACUCAGCACUUAAAUUUCUUCUACAUAGUCCCUUCCUUUCCAACUUAGUAAUAGACAAAAGUACUAAUUCAGAAAAGUACUUAAAAUAGUUAAAGAGAUUCAUUUACUAACAUAUGGAGGUAGAUAAGGAGGAAGACGAGGUAAAGCUCCUAAAGGUCUAUUAAAAGCUCUCUCCAAUGCCCUAUGAAUAUUCUCCUCAUGCUUAAGCUUCUUCUUCAACCUAUCUACCUAAAAUUCAUAUAAUUCAACUCGUUUCAAAUUAUGACCAAUACAAGGAACUGAAAAACUUGAAACAAAAAUAGUAUACAUUAUACAAUACAUACAUCUUGUUGCAAUGCCAACUUUACUUGCAUUUGUCAAGCUUCCUUGCAUCAUCUACCUUUUCAUUCAAAACUAAACAAGUUAGAAUCCAUCAAUACAAACAAAACAAAAAAAUCAUGAACUUUGUCUACUAUUGAAGCCAUUUUUCAAACACAUAAAGGACAAGAAUGCACACAUUUUUCAAACUUCUGAAUUAUAGCAAAUUUAAUCAAAUUUUCAAGUUCUAUAUUUAAUCAGAAAAUCAUCACCGAAACAAACUCAAUUGUUAACUUUUGGUCAAAUCCUGACAUGAACAAGAACAACAGAAUCUACUUUGAAGAAAUACAAAAAUUGAAUGAAGUUCAACUCUAAAUUAUAUACAGAAAUUCCCUCUAGAUAAAAAAUUAUAUACAGAAAUUCCCUCUAGAUCAAAGAAUUUGUCCGAAGAACUCAAUGAAUUUCCAAAACAAUAUCUCACUGGACAACUUAAUUGAAAAUGAAUAAAUAGAAGUUGAGUUUCAAUUUGAAAAGGAAUGGAAAUUGUAAAAAUAUAGAAUCUGGAGAAAAGAGAGAAAAUAAACUUAUAAAUCGCACAUCUAAACUUAUAGAAUGGAAAUUGAGUUUCAAUUUGAACUUACGAAGGAAUUCAAAAUUCCAGAAGAAAAAGGAAUUCAAAAGUCCAGAAGUGAAAAUCGCACAUCUAUUCUUAUUCCAGAGUUGAAGGUUCUCGCGUCGCCGCCAUGCUAGAGGAUCUGGUCGGCAGAGAGAGGCGCAUCGGAAGCAUAUGAACAUAAAGGCAGAGAUCAGCGGUAUGAAUAUGGAGAGUUUGAAAUUAGUUUUGAUGAUGAACAACGGGCGGUGAAAAGUGAAAAAUGCAUAUCUUGUGUGGUGUUAGCUACAAAUAUAAGUCAAACACAAAUAUAAGUCAAACUUAAUACUUGCGGCCUGUCAAUGCAAAUUAUUAUUCGUUAAUAUAUUUUAAUGUAUCAGUACAUCAUAAUCUUUCUAUUGUAUUAUAGAUUAUAGAAGUCUGCUUUUUUAAUUUGUGCAAUUUGUCCGAAGUUACUUACAUUGUGGUAUGGAGGAAGUAAUAGAUAAUUAAUUUAAUCAUAUCAUUUAUUUAUAAAUCUUUUUUUUAAUAUAAUUUAUGUAUGUGAUCUUAUGUGAUCAUAACUGGUGGUCGACAUUGUGCACAAUAAAAGUUUGCAAAUAAGUUUUAAGAUAAGACAAUAAUGCACUAUUUUAUGAGUUAUUAUUCUUAUUUCUUCUUUCUCCUAUGUUAAUUUUUAUAUAUUUGACUAUUUCUCUUCUUUCAUGGACUUCAUCAUUACAACAUCGCCGGCCACUGCCAUCUCCAUCACUGGCGACCGCCGCCGCCAUCCCCGUCUCCAUCACAGUCGUCUUUCCUUCAUCAUUAUAGAUUCACCGACGACGAUUUCAGUCUCUGGUCGGAGUUGUUAGCAAUUAUAUUUGAUCUUAAACUUGCUUGAAGUCUUGAAUUCAAGAAAGCGGUGUGAACAUAGAUAACAUGGAUGCAAUUGAGGUUCUAAGAAACGAGUUCAAACAACAACCUUCCAUUCAAUUCCAUGUCCAAGCUUCAUAUAUUGUCGGAUACUAUAUAACAAUUCAGAUAUAUGAAUUGAUGGUAUGUGUGACUGUUCAGAUGAUGAUGAUGAUCAUAAUAAUAAUAAUAAUGAUAAUAAUAAUAAUAAUAAUAAUAAUAAUAAUAAUAAUAAAAGUAGAUUCCUGUAAGAUGAUAUGUCAGAUAUGUGGUUGUUCAGUUAUAUGAGUUGUUCAGAUAUAUGAGUUGAUAACUCUUCAGAUAAUAUUUAUAAUAAUGCAAAAAGGACAUUCUGUAAGAUGACAGUUCAGAUUCUGUAAGAUGACAGUUCAGAUAUGUGACAUUCCUGCAAAAAGGACAUUCUUGUUGCCUCUUCAGAUAAUAUUUAUAAUAAUGCAAAAAUGACAUUCCUGUAAGAUGACUGUUCAGAUCCUGUAAGAUGACAGUUCAGAUAUGUGACAUUCCUGCAAAAAGGACAUUCUUGUUGCCUCUUCGGAUAAUAUUUAUAAUAAUGCAAAAAGGAUAUUCAUGUAAGAUGACUGUUCAGAUCCUUUAAGAUAACAGUUCAGAUAUGUGACAUUCAUGCAAAAAGGACAUUCUUGUUGCCUCUGAGUCAUCAAAUGAAAUGACGAGCAUAAACCUCGGCGAUUUGGAUCCUAUCCUUCUUUUUUCUCUUCUUUCUAUCUCUCUUAAUUUCAUUCUCUCUAUUCAUUAAAAAUAAUAAUAAUAAUAAUAAUAAUAAUAAUAAUAAUAAUAAUAAUAAUAAUAAUAUAAUAAAGAGAGAGUAUAGAUUAAGAGAGAAAUAGAGAAUCAAGGAAAAUGCAUACUCAUGUCCUGCCAUAAUGACAUUGAUUGCUAGUUCAGUCUCUCCAUACCUAACCUCCUAACCUGCCUCUACUAUUCUCCACUCUCCAUACACUUCUAUAAUACCACCCCAUUGAUUUCCCUCAAAAGCUCAAACACUACUUACUCAAGUACACAUACAUGCUUCUCUUCUCUUAUGAUGAGACCUGUUACUGCUACUGCUGCAACUGAUGAUCAGGAGUUAGAAGGUAACAAAAUUACCUUCCUACGGACUGCUGAGACUUUUCUGUGUUUGCUUCCUAUUGGUCUUUGUGUUUUAGCUCAUGUCCUUAUGCUUAAGAACUCUGAAGAAAACGAUUAUGGUUCUGUUUCUUACAUUGACCUUGGUGCUUUCAGGUAUAUACAUACUAGCUAGUACUAUAUAAGAAAUUAUUAUUUCCACAAAUGGAUAGAAACUAGCAAUUGUUUUGUGUACAUAUUUCAUACAAUUUGGCUCAUCUUUAUGAAUGUUAAAGUAAGAUAUCUCACUCGUUAUAAACUAUGUGGCCAAGGUUCGAUCGCUUAAGUAAAGUCGUCAUGUUUGAUCACUGACUUCCGUGUAGAAAAUUCAGUCGGGACAGGAGAAUUGUCCUUGUAUUUUCAACGAAUUU